CUCUCUCGUUCUCUCUCUCCUCCCUCCUUCCCUCAAACGCACGCUCGCCCCAGCGGCCCCAGUCGCCGGCAACAAAGCGGCGGGCAGCGCGCCGGGCUGGCGGCGCACGCACAUUCACUCACACACACACUCACUCACUUACACACACACACACAAUGCUGCCGCGGCACCUACCAGGCGGGCAGCCUCGGCCCAGGUGCCGGCUCGGAGAGAUCUCACGUUAGGGUUUCGGCUCCUUCUGUUGCUGGAGCAGGAAAGAACAUCUUCGUGUGCCAGUGUAAACAAAGGAGUUGAUAUGCUGCGCUCGUAAAACUGACGAGGGACGUGUUCUCUUCUUGGAUGACCUCGGAUUAAGAUACACACGAAAUGUUAAUGAGAAGAUUUAGCACACCUUCCUGAGUGGCAGGAUGUUGUGGGUUCUUCCCCAGUUUCUUCCUCUCCCCCAAAUAUUAAAGUAUAUUUGCAAUGCUAUUGAAA
This is a long non-coding RNA of Neopsephotus bourkii (Bourke's parrot), 477 nucleotides long. RefSeq lists it as uncharacterized. NCBI's taxonomy places the organism in Eukaryota, Metazoa, Chordata, Aves, Psittaciformes, Psittacidae. The record is from RefSeq and is a predicted model, not a curated record. The transcript has 2 exons.